RNAcentral lists this transfer RNA (71 nucleotides) under Rasbora beauforti. RNAcentral describes it as "tRNA-Ser". It matches the Rfam family "tRNA". From Rfam's summary of the family: Transfer RNA (tRNA) molecules are approximately 80 nucleotides in length. Their secondary structure includes four short double-helical elements and three loops (D, anti-codon, and T loops). Lineage: Eukaryota; Metazoa; Chordata; Actinopteri; Cypriniformes; Danionidae. The record is from RNAcentral.
AAGAAGGUGGCAGAAUGGUUAUGCAGCUGGCUUGAAACCGGCAUAUGGGGGUUCAAUUCCUUCCUUUCUCG